RNAcentral lists this ribosomal RNA (1388 nucleotides) under uncultured bacterium. Its description in RNAcentral is "16S ribosomal RNA". It matches the Rfam family "Bacterial small subunit ribosomal RNA". The record is from RNAcentral.
UUCGCCCUUAGAGUUUGAUUCUGGCUCAGGGCGAACGCUGGCGGCGUGCCUAACACAUGCAAGUCGAACGGACGAGGCCCUUCGGGGCCGAGUUAGUGGCGAACGGGUGAGUAACGCGUGAACAACCUGCCUCUUUGAGGGGGAUAACACCUGGAAACAAGUGCUAAUACCGCAUAAGACCACAUUACCGCAUGGUAAAGGGGUCAAAGGAGAAAUCCGCAGAGAGAGGGGUUCGCGUCCCAUUAGGUAGUUGGUGAGGUAACGGCCCACCAAGCCUGCGAUGGGUAGCCGACCUGAGAGGGUGAUCGGCCACACUGGAACUGAGACACGGUCCAGACUCCUACGGGAGGCAGCAGUGGGGAAUAUUGGGCAAUGGGGGAAACCCUGACCCAGCAACGCCGCGUGAGGGAAGAAGGUUUUCGGAUUGUAAACCUCUGUCCUAAGAGAAGAGGGGAAGACGGUAUCUUAGGAGGAAGCCCCGGCUAACUACGUGCCAGCAGCCGCGGUAAUACGUAGGGGGCGAGCGUUGUCCGGAAUGAUUGGGCGUAAAGGGCGUGUAGGCGGCUUUAUAAGUCUGGAGUGAAAGUCCUGUUUUCAAGAUGGGAAUUGCUUUGGAUACUGUAGGGCUUGAGUGCAGGAGAGGUUAUCGGAAUUCCCGGUGUAGCGGUGAAAUGCGUAGAGAUCGGGAGGAACACCAGUGGCGAAGGCGGGUAACUGGACUGCAACUGACGCUGAGGCGCGAAAGUGUGGGGAGCAAACAGGAUUAGAUACCCUGGUAGUCCACACUGUAAACGAUGAAUACUAGGUGUAGGGGGUAUCAACUCCCUCUGUGCCGCAAGCAAACGCAAUAACGUAUUCCGCCUGGGGAGUACGGCCGCAAGGUUGAAACUCAAAGGAAUUGACGGGGGCCCGCACAAGCAGCGGAGCAUGUGGUUUAUAUUUGACGCAACGCGAAGAACCUUACCAAGGCUUGACAUCCACUUAAAAGUAUGGAAACAUACCGUGUCUUCGGACGAAGUGAGACAGGUGGUGCAUGGUUGUCGUCAGCUCGUGUCGUGAGAUGUUGGGUUAAGUCCCGCAACGAGCGCAACCCCUAUUACCAGUUACCAGCGAGUAAAGUCGGGGACUCUGGUGAGACUGCCGGGGACAACUCGGAGGAAGGUGGGGACGACGUCAAAUCAUCAUGCCCCUUACGUCUUGGGCUACACACGUGCUACAAUGGCUGCAACAAAGGGAAGCGACAUCGUAAGAUGAAGCGGAUCUCAUAAAAACAGUCCCAGUUCGGAUUGUGGGCUGCAACCCGCCCACAUGAAGUCGGAGUUGCUAGUAAUCGCGGAUCAGAAUGCCGCGGUGAAUACGUUCCCGGGCCUUGCACACACCGCCCGUCA